UACGGAGGGGGCUAGCGUUGUUCGGAAUUACUGGGCGUAAAGCGCGCGUAGGCGGCUUUGUAAGUCAGGGGUGAAAUCCCGGGGCUCAACCCCGGAACUGCCCUUGAGACUGCAAGGCUAGAAUCCAGGAGAGGUGAGUGGAAUUCCGAGUGUAGAGGUGAAAUUCGUAGAUAUUCGGAAGAACACCAGUGGCGAAGGCGGCUCACUGGACUGGUAUUGACGCUGAGGUGCGAAAGCGUGGGGAGCAAACAGG
RNAcentral lists this ribosomal RNA (253 nucleotides) under uncultured bacterium. RNAcentral describes it as "partial 16S ribosomal RNA". It matches the Rfam family "Bacterial small subunit ribosomal RNA", at positions 524 to 776 of the family's 1533-position model. The record is from RNAcentral.